Molecule: ribosomal RNA, 253 nt
Filed under: uncultured bacterium
Lineage: Bacteria
Description: partial 16S ribosomal RNA
Rfam family: Bacterial small subunit ribosomal RNA
Source: RNAcentral
UACGUAGGGGGCUAGCGUUGUCCGGAAUCAUUGGGCGUAAAGAGCGCGUAGGCGGCCAGGUAGGUCCGUUGUGAAAACUCGAGGCUCAACCUCGAGACGCCGAUGGAAACCAUCUGGCUAGAGUCCGGAAGAGGAGAGUGGAAUUCCCGGUGUAGCGGUGAAAUGCGCAGAUAUCGGGAAGAACACCCGUGGCUAAGGCGGCUCUCUAGUACGGUACUGACGCUGAGACGCGAAAGCGUGGGGAGCGAACAGG